Molecule: ribosomal RNA, 466 nt
Filed under: uncultured bacterium
Lineage: Bacteria
Description: partial 16S ribosomal RNA
Rfam family: Bacterial small subunit ribosomal RNA
Source: RNAcentral
GAUGAACGCUGGCGGCGUGCUUAACACAUGCAAGUCGAACGAUGAAGCUCAGCUUGCUGGGUGGUUUAGUGGCGAACGGGUGAGUAGCACGUGAGUAACCUGCCCUUAACUCUGGGAUAAGCCUGGGAAACUAGGUCUAAUACCGGAUAGGAGCGCCUACCGCAUGGUGGGUGUUGGAAAAAUUUAUCGGUUUUGGAUGGACUCGCGGCCUAUCAGCUUGUUGGUGAGGUAAUGGCUCACUAAGGCGACGACGGGUAGCCGGCCUGAGAGGGUGAACGGCCACACUGGGACUGAGACACGGCCCAGACUGCUACGGGAGGCAGCAGUGGGGAAUAUUGCGCAAUGGGCGAAAGCCUGAUGCAGCGACGCCGCGUGAGGGAUGACGGCCUUCGGGUUGUAAACCUCUUUCAGUAGGGAAGAAGCGAAAGUGACGGUACCUGCAGAAGAAGCACCGGCUAACUACGUG